GCCAGACUCCUACGGGAGGCAGCAGUGGGGAAUAUUGGGCAAUGGGCGCAAGCCUGACCCAGCAACGCCGCGUGAAGGAAGAAGGCUUUCGGGUUGUAAACUUCUUUUCUUGGGGACGAAGAAAGUGACGGUACCCAAGGAAUAAGCCACAGCUAACUACGUGCCAGCCGCCGCGGUAAUACGUAGGUGGCACGCGUUAUCCGGAUUUAUUGGGUGUAAAGGGCGUGUAGGCGGGAAUGCAAGUCAGAUGUGAAAACUAUGGGCUCAACCCAGAGCCUGCAUUUGAAACUGUGUUUCUUGAGUGCUGGAGAGGCAGGCGGAAUUCCGUGUGUAGCGGUGAAAUGCGUAGAUAUACGGAGGAACACCAGUGGCGAAGGCGGAUUGCUGGACAGUAACUGACGCUGAGGCGCGAAAGCGUGGGGAGCAAACAGGAUUAGAUACCCCGGUAA
Molecule: ribosomal RNA, 449 nt
Filed under: uncultured bacterium
Lineage: Bacteria
Description: bacterial SSU rRNA
Rfam family: Bacterial small subunit ribosomal RNA
Source: RNAcentral